This is a non-coding RNA of Salmo salar (Atlantic salmon), 4581 nucleotides long. NCBI's taxonomy places the organism in Eukaryota, Metazoa, Chordata, Actinopteri, Salmoniformes, Salmonidae. The record is from RefSeq and is a predicted model, not a curated record.
CAUGUGAAAUCCGUAGAUUAGGGCCGAAUGAAUUUAUUUCAAUUGACUAUUUUUGUUGCAUGUUGCGUUUUUUAUUCUUCAGUGUAAAUAAAUUGUAUUGUACCUCUUCUAUGAGCUGAAUGAAACAUUCAUGGAAUGUAAAAUGUAUUAUAUUCUUACUAGGCUAACGUUACACAGCAUUUUUCCUUAAUUGGGCUUUUUUAAGCUAUGUUUUAGCCACGUCAGGAGCCCUUUGUGAGCAGCAGGAGCCCUAGGCUGAGCCACCGUAGAGAGAAGAAUCAAUGUGUGCAGCUGUCACACUGCCUUGUGCACACUGGAUGAACUCAACGUUACUCAGCACACAACGGUUUGUUUCACUCAUAGAUUUUCUCAUUGUUUUUUUUUUUAACAUGUAGGCCUAUUUUAUUAUUGCAAAUCAAUGUUACAUGACACAUGUAAUACAACGUGACACACACGACCUCUGUUGGACUUAUAUAGCCUGAAUUGCUUGUGCUGUAUUCUAUCUGAUUUAGUUCUACAGCUAGUCUAUAUGUUUUACUUGGGCUGUGUUGCUGCUAAAGCCAUGUCUCCCUGUGACUGUUAUCUUCCUGUGAUCAAUGUGUUUUCGAGGCUGCACAUUUAUGGCGUUUGUGAGGGUGAGGAACUGUGGCGACUUCUGCCAGGCACAGCACCAGCACCUGGUCAUUGUGGACAAGUAAGCAGCCUUUAGCCAAACAUGAAGAAAUACCCCACCUGAAGUUGACCAGUACUCCUGGAGAGAGAGAGGCUGAUAUUUCUCCCAAGUAUAUGGCUUCGAUUGAGUUAAUCCAGCCGUUUAGCAACUAUAAACCAUUCCUGAAUGUUUUGUUUCCUUUUCAUAUUCCACUUUUUAUUUACUUUCACCCCGUUUUCUAUAGCCUAUAUCUUUCAAUAACCACCUUUAUACCCAAUCACUCACCCAUUUUGUAGUAUUUUUCUCUACUGCUGGACUGUUCAAACUCUCCUGGAAGACUGCCUUCUCCAACUGUCUGUCAAGAUGAAUCGCCAGGCCCCUGUUGAGUUCACCUAUGAGUGUAUAAAGUGUCUGAUCACCCACAACCCCACCAACUCCCAGCUGGUGAAAUUUAUAGAGGUACAGUAUUAACUCCUAUAAUACAUAUCCCCAUAUGCUUGCGUUUUUUUAGUUUAUUCUUUUGUCAAGCAAGAUUGGAAUGUACUGAAAAACAGUGUCUUGAUUACUAACCUAAAACACUUCAUUUGUAAUCAAGACCUCAAGGCUUUUGGUGUGCAGACACUAGUCAGAGUGUGUAAUGCCCCUUACGACAAAACCCCUGUGGAGCAGGAAGGCAUCACUGUUGUGGUAAAACUACUUUUUUUUCUCUUCUGCCAUGAUGUUAACCCAUCAGAGACCUUCAGAUUUGGUUGGAGCUUCAAGCAUUCUGGUUCCAAUUGUUCACUGUAUCUACAUGACAUCUAGGUCUAUCUUUUUCGUAAUGAUGGAGGUUGAAUGAAAGCGUUAGGCCUAUCAAUUACGCUACCUAAUAAAUUCAUCCAUUAAUGGAGCCUAAUACCAACCAUAUGUUUUCCUCAAACAGGAUUGGCCAUUUGACGAUGGUUCUUCACCCCCUGAACAUGUCGUUGAUGACUGGCUCAACCUCCUCAAGUGUAAAUUCCGAGACGAACCCGGUUGUUGCAUAGCAGUGCAUUGUGUGGCGGGUUUGGGUCGAGCCCCAGUCCUGGUAGCGUUGGCGUUGAUUGAGUGUGGGAUGGAAUAUGAAGAUGCUGUUCACUUUAUAAGACAAAAGAGACGUGGGGCCUUCAACUCAAAACAACUAAUGUACUUUGAAAACUACAAACCCAAGAUGUGUCUCAGCUUCAAAGAUGCUAAUAGCAAAACUGCUGCAUUCAGUAAGAAGAUAAGUGUUAUUGUCAAGGUUUACUCAAAGGAAACUGAUUAGUAUAAGAACAGUUAUUGAUUAUACUCAAAGCAAAAAAAGAAUACUCAAGAAAACUAGUCUAAAUAGUAAAAUUGAAUUUGAUUAAAGUAAAUAUUCUGAAAAGAGUUGUUAGCACUGAUAUUUUCCUCAACUACUGUAGUUGUUAAUCAUUAAAGAAAUAUUUUUAAUUGUUACUAGUUGUUGGUGGUAGGGUCAUCUGCAAGUUAGGGAAAGGCUAAAAUAAGUGUAUUUAAUAAGUAUAACAGCCUUUAUUGUUAUUCAAAACAUUAUCAUGAAGGCAUGAGCACAAAUCUGCACAAAUACUGUAUUUACCACAUACGUUCAAUGAAAUCGUGUAUUCUAUUUUCUGGUAAAUAUUUCAAGAAGUCAAUUAUCUCAACAUAUUUGGGUAACUGCCUGGUACCAAAUGGUGCCUAGUCGGGAUUAUUUGAAUGAAUCUUGAAUCAAAUGUAAUUUAGCCUAUAGUUAUUAUCAUGAUAUUACCAUUUUACUAUGUCAUUUCAGAGUAAAUACUGUAACGACCCUUGGUUUAUGAGCUUGGAUAUUGACUCUGCCAUAUGAGCAUGCUUUUGUGGCAUAGUCGAUGGCGCGCAGGGCUUACGGGCUAGAAGGUUGAGGACUUGAGCGCACUCCCUGCCUGUUUCAUUACAUUGUAGUAGACCAGCCAACCUGGAAAAAGUACUUGCUUAUUAUUUUUUUUUGCUUGUUGAAGGCUGUCAUCCAUGCUAGAUCAAACAAUGAUGGGAUGUUACAUUUUAAUUUUUAAGGCAAUUUAAGGGUUAAAGGUCAAAUCUGGUGAAAAAGGGCAUAAUGAAAAUAGUAAUUUUUAUUGUACACAGUGAGUCCAUGCAACUUAUUUGACUUGUUAUGUACAUUUUUUACUCCUGAACAUAUUUAGGCAUGCCAUAACAAAGGGAUCUUGUUUCUCAUGGUCUGAGAGUCUAGGUGCCUUUUGGCAAACUCCAAGCGGGCUGUCAUGUGCCUUUUACUGAGGAGGUGCUUCCGUCUGGCCACUCUACCAUAAAUGCCUGAUUGGUGUAGUACUGCAGAGAUGAUAGAACCUUCCAGAAGGACAACCAUCUCCACAGAGGAACUCUGGAGCUCUGUCAUUAUGGGAUAUUGUUUGUAGAUUGCUGAGAAUUAAAAAAAAAAUGUUAUCCAUUUUUAGAAAAGGCUGUAACGUAACAAUGUGGAAAAAGUUAAGGGGUCUGAAUAAUUUCUGAUGGCACUGUAUAUAUCAUUUCAUAGAAGCUUUUAAAAUUGUCAAUUGCUUUGUUGAUUCUAAUGACCUCUUUUGUAUCUUUAACUUUUUAAAUUAUAACUGGCAGUAGCAUGUAUUCGUUUUGUGAGUGCUGUGAGAUAUUUAACAGGUUUAUUUGCCAUUAAGUAGUGUACUUUAUUUGAGUUUAAUCUGUAGUUUUUGGUUCUCUUCAAAAGUAAAAGAUUGUAUUCCUGCUUAAGUUUCUUUAUCUUGUAGAGAUUGUUGUGGAAAUUACCACCAGGGACACCUGAAGUAAAUCUUAAAUUAAUCAUUCUUUAUUAACAGCAAUCUGAAGUGGUCACAGUCAAACUUAGAUGCAUAAAGUACAGGUAUGAAGUGAGCUCCCCCGGGGCAUUCCUGUUAGUUGUCUUAUAUACUGUUUACACAGACAAGUCACAUUUGCAUGAUUUAGCUUAUUCAUAAUGAAUUCAUCACUAACAUUUGGUUCAUGCAUGAGACCGACCAAUGCCUCACGAAGCUUCUUCUCUCCAAGCUAAGACCUUGAAGCUGAGAUAUCCCUUUCCGUUCUCAAAACAAUGUUCUGGGUGUACUGCCAAAUUGAAGAUACUGAUCAUGAGGAUCCCUCCCUGGCACGAUCAAUCAGUCAUUUGCAUGAACCCAUUCAAAUUGUCUAUUAGAAAAGCAAAAACAAAAUGUUCCUUCACAUUCCCUCUUAUCACUUCUGUGAUAAUAAUCGUAACAUUUUAAGGUAAGCAUUAGAUUAUAGCUUCUAUCAAAACGUUCUAUACUUCUAAUAAAGUAAGGGAAAUCAACACAAAACCAAAGACACUUUCAAACCCUUCAUUCUAGGUUGUACUUAUAAAACCAUUGCAGUAGAAUGUUCUAACUUAAGACCUUCACUUCAUACAGUUACACGUAUGCUUCAUUACACAAUUUAAUUUAUGGAUUCUGGCAAUGACAUUUCAGCUGGAGCUUUUGUUGUGAGUGGCAUGUUAAUGACAGAAUGGUAUCUCAAUGCAUUUUAUGUUUAAAUUACAAUCAACCUGAUACCCCUAAUAAACAAUUUUGGACAUGCCUAAAUCAAUUAGGGCAUGGUUGACCACCCCCCUCACGGCUUUUCUUAAUUUUCUUAUUCAGAUAGCUUUACAGUUUGUCCUCCCAAUGGCACAUGUUCAAAGUGGAUGGCCCUUGAUAAUAUCCCGAUUUCAAUAUCUGGGUAAUAAUCAGAUUUUCCCAAGCAGACGAAUUGCUCACCUGUCAUUUAUGGUCCAUUAUGUCUUGUCCAUUUUCUUACUAGUACACCAGCAGCAUGAGAGAAGUUUGGACGGGAUCUCUCCAUGCUUACUCCACGUGGACUCGUCGUACCCCUGAGAGAAAAGGCAUGAGAGAAAAGGCAGUUGAUCGCUUCGACUGGAUGCUGUG